This 72-nucleotide transfer RNA is filed under the name Cuneatibacter caecimuris. It matches the Rfam family "tRNA". Rfam says of the family: Transfer RNA (tRNA) molecules are approximately 80 nucleotides in length. Lineage: Bacteria; Bacillati; Bacillota; Clostridia; Lachnospirales; Lachnospiraceae. The record is from Rfam by way of RNAcentral.
GCACCUGUAGCUCAGUGGAUAGAGCAUCGGAAUCCGGAUCCGUGUGCGGGGGUUCGACUCCUCUCAGGUGCA